GAUGAACGCUGGCGGCGUGCCUAAUACAUGCAAGUCGAGCGAACAGAUGAGAAGCUUGCUUCUCUGAUGUUAGCGGCGGACGGGUGAGUAACACGUGGGUAUCCUACCUAUAAGACUGGGAUAACUCCGGGAAACCGGGGCUAAUACCGGAUAAUAUUUUGAACCGCAUGGUUCAAUAGUGAAAGACGGUUUCGGCUGUCACUUAUAGAUGGACCCGCGCCGUAUUAGCUAGUUGGUAAGGUAACGGCUUACCAAGGCGACGAUACGUAGCCUACCUGAGAGGGUGAUCGGCCACACUGGAACUGAGACACGGUCAGACUCCUACGGGAGGCAGCAGUAGGGAAUCUUCCGCAAUGGGCGAAAGCCUGACGGAGCAACGCCGCGUGAGUGAUGAAGGUCUUCGGAUCGUAAAACUCUGUUGUUAGGGAAGAACAAAUUUGUUAGUAACUGAACAAGUCUUGACGGUACCUAACCAGAAAGCCACGGCUAACUACGUGCCAGCAGCCGCGGUAA
Molecule: ribosomal RNA, 513 nt
Filed under: uncultured bacterium
Lineage: Bacteria
Description: partial 16S ribosomal RNA
Rfam family: Bacterial small subunit ribosomal RNA
Source: RNAcentral